GUCCUAAGGUAGCGAAAUUCCUUGUCGGGUAAGUUCCGACCCGCACGAAAGGCGUAACGAUUUGGGCACUGUCUCAACAACAGACUCGGUGAAAUUGUAAUUCCGGUGAAGAUGCCGGAUACCUGCGACAGGACGGAAAGACCCCAUGGAGCUUUACUGUAGCUUGACAUUGGGUCUUGGUACUACAUGUACAGGAUAGGUGGGAGGCUUUGAAACCAGGACGCCAGUUUUGGCGGAGCCAUCCUUGGGAUACCACCCUUGUAGUACUGGGACUCUAACCAUAGGCCAUGAAUCUGGUCUUGGGACACUGUCAGGUGGGCAGUUUGACUGGGGCGGUCGCCUCCCAAAAGGUAACGGAGGCGCUCAAAGGUUCUCUCAGUACGGUCGGAAAUCGUACGUAGAGUGUAAAGGCAAAAGAGAGCUUGAUUGCAAGACAUACAGGUCGAGCAAGGAUGAAAAUCGGACUUAGUGAUCCGGUGGUUCUGCGUGGAAGGGCCAUCGCUCAACGGAUAAAAGCUACCCUGGGGAUAA
This 531-nucleotide ribosomal RNA is filed under the name Clostridioides difficile. Its description in RNAcentral is "partial 23S ribosomal RNA". It matches the Rfam family "Bacterial large subunit ribosomal RNA", at positions 1948 to 2477 of the family's 2925-position model. Lineage: Bacteria; Bacillati; Bacillota; Clostridia; Peptostreptococcales; Peptostreptococcaceae. The record is from RNAcentral.